CCUACGGGAGGCAGCAGUGGGGAAUAUUGGGCAAUGGGCGCAAGCCUGACCCAGCAACGCCGCGUGAAGGAAGAAGGCUUUCGGGUUGUAAACUUCUUUUCUCAGGGACGAAGCAAGUGACGGUACCUGAGGAAUAAGCCACGGCUAACUACGUGCCAGCAGCCGCGGUAAUACGUAGGUGGCAAGCGUUAUCCGGAUUUACUGGGUGUAAAGGGCGUGUAGGCGGGACUGCAAGUCAGAUGUGAAAACCACGGGCUCAACCUGUGGCCUGCAUUUGAAACUGUAGUUCUUGAGUACUGGAGAGGCAGACGGAAUUCCUAGUGUAGCGGUGAAAUGCGUAGAUAUUAGGAGGAACACCAGUGGCGAAGGCAGCAUACCGGCGGCGAUCUGACGCUGAGGCACGAAAGCGUGGGUAUCGAACAGGAUUAGAUACCCCUGUAGUC
Molecule: ribosomal RNA, 443 nt
Filed under: uncultured bacterium
Lineage: Bacteria
Description: partial 16S ribosomal RNA
Rfam family: Bacterial small subunit ribosomal RNA
Source: RNAcentral